GAUGAACGCUGGCGGCGUGCCUAAUACAUGCCAGUCGAGCGAACAGAUGAGGAGCUUGCUCCUCUGACGUUAGCGGCGGACGGGUGAGUAACACGUGGAUAACCUACCUAUAAGACUGGGAUAACUUCGGGAAACCGGAGCUAAUACCGGAUAAUAUAUUGAACCGCAUGGUUCAAUAGUGAAAGACGGUUUUGCUGUCACUUAUAGAUGGAUCCGCGCCGCAUUAGCUAGUUGGUAAGGUAACGGCUUACCAAGGCAACGAUGCGUAGCCGACCUGAGAGGGCGACAGGGGGCACGGGAACUGAGACACGGUCCAGACUCCUAGGUGAGGCAGCAGUAGGGAAUCUUCGGCAAUGGGCGGAACCCUGACGCAUCAACGUCGGGUGAGAGAAGAAAGUAUUAGUAUAGUAAAACUCUGUAAUUAGGAAGGAAAAAAAGUAGAACGAAACAGCAACGUCGUGACGGUACCCACCGAGAAAGCAACGGCUAACUACGUG
RNAcentral lists this ribosomal RNA (497 nucleotides) under uncultured bacterium. Its description in RNAcentral is "partial 16S ribosomal RNA". It matches the Rfam family "Bacterial small subunit ribosomal RNA", at positions 28 to 507 of the family's 1533-position model. The record is from RNAcentral.